Molecule: ribosomal RNA, 1304 nt
Filed under: Colletes gigas
Lineage: Eukaryota; Metazoa; Arthropoda; Insecta; Hymenoptera; Colletidae
Description: 16S ribosomal RNA
Source: RNAcentral
UAAAUAAAAUAUUUAUAUUAUAUUUAAUUAAUAUUAUUUAAAAUAAUUUAAAAUUAAUAAAGUUUUAGUAAAUAUUUAAAAUUAAUUUUUUGAAUUAAAAUGUAUUGUAGAAGUAUUAAUAAAAUUUUAAAAAAUAAAAAUUUAUUUUUGUACCUUUUGUAUCAGGGUUUAUUAAUUAUAUUUAUAUAUAAAUAUAUUUCUCGAAAAUAAAAGAGUUAAUUAAAUAUAAUUUUUUAUAUUAAAUAAUUAAUUAUUAAUAUUUAAUUAGAAAUGAUAAGUUAUUCGAAUUUAUUGAUAUCUAGUUUUUUUUUAAAUGAAUUUAAUUCAUAUAUUUAAUAUAAAUUUAUUUUUUUUAAUAAAAUUAAUUUUAUUAAAUAUUAAAAAAUUAUGGGAUAAACUUUAAUUUUAAUUUUAUUAUUUAAAUUUAUUAUUUUUAUUUAUUUAUGUUCAUAAAAUUUGUUUAUAUUUAAAAAAAUUUAAUAAUUUAUAAUUUUAUUUAUUAAUAAUUUUAUUUUUAAAUAUAAAAUAAUAAAAAAAAAUUAAUUGUAAUUAAAAUUAAUUUAUUUAUAAUGAUAAAAUUAGUAAAUAUAAAAAUAUUAAUAUAUUAAAUAAUUUAAAGUAUAAUAUAGGAAUUAGGCAAAAAUUAUAUUCACCUGUUUAUCAAAAACAUGUCUUUUUGUUUAUAAUUUAAAGUCAGUUCUGCUCAAUGAAUUAAAUUUUAAAUAGCUGCAGUAUUUUGACUGUACAAAGGUAGCAUAAUCAAUAGGUUUUUAAUUGAAAUCUAGAAUGAAAGAAUUAAUGAAAUAUAAACUAUCUUUAUUAUAUAUAUAUUUGAAUUUUAAUUUUAAGUAAAAAUGCUUAAAUAUAAUUAAGGGACGAUAAGACCCUAUAGAAUUUUAUAUAUUUAUGUAAAUAUUAAUAUUUUAAAUUAAUAUUUACAUAAAUAUAUUUUAUUGGGAGGAUAUUUAAAUUUAUUAAACUUUAAAAUUAAUAAAUCAAUAAAUUAUUGUUUAAUUUAAAUGAAUUUUAGUAAAAAUUAAUAGAUAAAUUACCUUAGGGAUAACAGUGUAAUAUCUUUGGAAAGAUCAAAUUUAUAAAGAUGAUUGCUACCUCGAUGUUGAAUUAAGAUAAAUUUUAGGUGUAGUAGUUUAAAAAUUAAGUCUGUUCGACUUUUAAAAUCUUACAUGAUUUGAGUUCAGAUCGGUGUAAACCAGAUCGGUUUUUAUCUUUAAUAAAAUUAAAUAUUUUUGUACGAAAGGACUUUAUAUUUAAAAUAAUUUUUAAUUAAAAUUAAUAAAUAUAUU